GAUUCCUACGGGACGCAGCAGUCGGGAAUAUUGCGCAAUGGAGGAAACUCUGACGCAGUGACGCCGCGUAUAGGAAGAAGGUUUUCGGAUUGUAAACUAUUGUCGUUAGGGAAGAGAAAGGACAGUACCUAAGGAGGAAGCUCCGGCUAACUACGUGCCAGCAGCCGCGGUAAUACGUAGGGGGCAAGCGUUAUCCGGAUUUACUGGGUGUAAAGGGAGCGUAGACGGCAGAGCAAGUCUGAAGUGAAAGCCCGCGGCCCAACUGCGGGACUGCUUUGGAAACUGCCCGGCUAGAGUGCUGGAGG
This 305-nucleotide ribosomal RNA is filed under the name uncultured bacterium. RNAcentral describes it as "bacterial SSU rRNA". It matches the Rfam family "Bacterial small subunit ribosomal RNA", at positions 334 to 655 of the family's 1533-position model. The record is from RNAcentral.